CCGCCAACUGAAGCAGAAGUGUCGCGCCUUUUUUGUCCGUGAUUCGUUUCUUGUUGAAGUUGCCAAGUUUGCUUAACAAACGUAGUGUGUGCGUUAGGGUCAGUUUUGUGCGUUUCUCGAAGAAAUUGUCCAGCCAACCGCUACGUUUGUCUCAGGCAACUGCGUCACACCGCCAUCGUUGGGACAGAAGAUUCCCGGCAUCCGUCGCCGGAGGGGGCCAACCCGUUUACACGUUGGUCCCAAUUCCAAUCGUGGUCGCCAAUUGCCACGCAUCGUCGCUGAGAGCGAGUGCCGAGCGGCCGACGACCCCCCCCCCCUGUGGGUGAAUUGGCCACGUCACCAACGGCCAUUCAUCGCUGCGAACAUCGAUCGCUUUCCGCCGUCUACCAGGAGCGCAGCAGUACCGGUAGGCGAACAACAGUCGGUGAGUCAAGCGAUCUCUUUUUUAUCGAGUGGGGCGUCCAGUGAGGACGCCUCGGAGGAUUUUUUUGUGCCGACCGUAGGUCGAUGACUGACUGAGUCAGGACGUUUGGACGUGUCCAUAAAAUUUUGAGGUUGGAUGUGGAACUUAUAAAACGUGCGCACGUAACGUAAUUCGUGAACGUCCCAUCCAACCUCUAUUGUCAGACACCCGGGUGUGAAGCUUCUCGUCGUUCGUCACAUCGUCG
This is a long non-coding RNA of Armigeres subalbatus, 668 nucleotides long. RefSeq lists it as uncharacterized. The transcript is spliced from 3 exons. Lineage: Eukaryota; Metazoa; Arthropoda; Insecta; Diptera; Culicidae. The record is from RefSeq and is a predicted model, not a curated record.